CGCGUAGAGCUAUAGAUUUUAAUUGAAUGCUAAGAGAAUGGAAUUUCAGAAAAAAACUUUUUUCAAGUUAAAAAUUGAAAUUUUUUUAAUUUGUGCAGAAACAAUUAUUAAUAUUAAGGACAAGAAGACCCUAUGAAUUUAUAAAUUUUAUUUAAUAUGUAACUACUAUUAAAAAAAAUUUUGCUGGGGGGGGGGGAAAAAUUUUUAAAAUUUUUUAAAAAUAAAUGGAUCCUUUUUUAAGGAUUUAUGGUUAAAACCCCAAGGGAAACCACCUA
This 275-nucleotide ribosomal RNA is filed under the name Rhipicephalus sanguineus (brown dog tick). RNAcentral describes it as "partial large subunit ribosomal RNA". The record is from RNAcentral. Lineage: Eukaryota; Metazoa; Arthropoda; Arachnida; Ixodida; Ixodidae.